UACAGAGGGUGCAAGCGUUAAUCGGAAUUACUGGGCGUAAAGCGUGCGUAGACGGUUAUGUAAGUCAGGUGUGAAAGCCCCGGGCUCAACCUGGGAAUGCCAUUUGAGACUGCAUAGCUAGGGUACGGAAGAGGGAAGCGGAAUUUCAGGUGUAGCGGUGAAAUGCGUAGAUAUCUGAAGGAACACCAGUGGCGAAAGCGGCUUCCUGGUCCAGUACCGACGUUCAGGCACGAAAGCGUGGGGAGCAAACAGG
Molecule: ribosomal RNA, 253 nt
Filed under: uncultured bacterium
Lineage: Bacteria
Description: partial 16S ribosomal RNA
Rfam family: Bacterial small subunit ribosomal RNA
Source: RNAcentral